Molecule: non-coding RNA, 171 nt
Filed under: Arachidicoccus rhizosphaerae
Lineage: Bacteria; Pseudomonadati; Bacteroidota; Chitinophagia; Chitinophagales; Chitinophagaceae
Source: RNAcentral
UCUGGGGUGACCCAGAAUCUGAAGGAAGCCGCAGGCAAAGCGCUGACAUGACGUACAGGAAUCGUAUGAGGCUGUUUAUCUGGAUGAGGAGGCAAUUAUCUCUAAAGUCCGAUACUUACACGGAAAGGUAAGCAGUAUAUACGGCGUGUAUAAGCGUGACAGAAGUGCAUC